Empidonax traillii (willow flycatcher) is the source of this 1287-nucleotide non-coding RNA. The record is from the annotation of a RefSeq genome assembly. Lineage: Eukaryota; Metazoa; Chordata; Aves; Passeriformes; Tyrannidae.
AUGGUGAGUUUUGACCCCAAAACAGCUCAGGGCGGCCCCCCCAGAGUGUUCCCGCUGUCCCCCUGCGGCCCCCAGCCCCUUUUCUCGGUGGGCUGCCUGGCGGUGGGGGGGACCCCGCCCGCCCCGCUGCGCUGGCGCUGGAGCGACGGGCAGAACCGCACGCUGGGCGGGGCUAACUCCGGAGUGGGCGUGGCCACCGGGGUGGGCGUGGCCUCCAGAGACUCCGCCCUGCUGUUCCUGGCCGCUUCCCGCCUGGAGGCGCCGCUGGAGGAGGGGAAAUCCAGGAUGCCCUUCUGGUGCCGGGCGGAGAAUCCCAAGGGCGGAGCCGCCGCUCAAGUGACCAAUCCCGGUGAGUCCGGAAUCUGGUUCCGCAACGGCGACCCCCUGGGGGCCGGCGCCGCCUCCGAGGCCGCCGGGGCCGAGGGCUCGGGCGUGGUGGUCACCAGCAGCCGCCUGGGCGUCACCGAGGCCGAGUGGGAGCGCGGCGACACCUUCACCUGCCUGGCGGGCGGCGAGAGCCGCAACACCAGCAAGGGCAUGGAGUGUCAAUACGACCAGGCGGGCGGGGCGGGCGGCACCGAGGUGCAGGUGGAGACGGCGCCGCCGCUCUUCGCCGACGUCUUCGAGGACAAGGCGGCCAAGCUGACGUGCCGGGUGGCCAACCUGGCGGGCCCCGAGGGGCUGGAGGUGACGUGGCUGCGGGAGGACGGCGAGGCCCUGCCCACCAAGGUGGGGCCGCCGGCCCUGCAGCCCAACGGGCUCUUCGGCGCCGCCGCCGUGGCCUCGGUGAGCGCCGAGGACUGGGAGUCGGGCCGGCCCUUCACCUGCCGGGUGGUGCACCCCGACCUGCUCUUCCCCAGGGAGGUGGCCCUGAAGAAGGAGGCUGUUCCCGACGCCAGCCCCCCGACCCUGUACCUUCUUCCUCCGCCCCCCGACCAGCUGAGGCUGCAGCGCUCGGCCACCCUCACCUGCCUCGCCCUCUCCUUCAACCCCCCCGACCUGCUGCUGCGCUGGCUCCGCGACGGCGAGCCCCUCCCCCCGGGCGCCGCCCUCACCUUCCCGCCCCGCCCCGAGCCCCGCCCGGGCCGCGCCGCCUUCAGCCUCCUCAGCGCCCUCACCGUGCCCGCCCACGACUGGCACCGCGGCGUCGCCUUCACCUGCCUGGUGGGCCACGAGCGCCUCCCGCUGCGCCUGGCCCAGCGCACCCUGGACCGCAGCUCCGGUAACGCCGCCGCCCCCCUCAACGUCUCCAUCGUGCUCGCCGACGCCGCCGGCGCCUGCUAUUAA